Molecule: long non-coding RNA, 670 nt
Filed under: Medicago truncatula (barrel medic)
Lineage: Eukaryota; Viridiplantae; Streptophyta; Magnoliopsida; Fabales; Fabaceae
Description: lncRNA gene45016
Source: RNAcentral
UUUCACAAGAAUUCUUUUGUUUUUCCUUGAGUGCUCAUAAUCGAUUCAAUCUUUAUUAGUCGUUUGAAUUCAAUCAUUCUGUUAAAAUAUUUAGCUCUAACUCAAUGUAAGUUGUUUAAUGAAAAUAUUUUUUUAUGACUUAAAAAGUUUAUCGAAGUUUGAAGAGGCUAUUUAUCUACAAGGCACAUGUGAAAGUACGAAGAAGUUUGAGUGGAAAAAAAAACUUUUGAAAGGUUGAAGAGCUUGUGUGAAAUCUUUAGUUUCUUGACUUUGAAUAAAAACUACUAGCAAUCACGAGAAAUAAAGAAUACUUGGGGAUGUCAUGAAGAGUUUCAAAACUUCUAGCAACAAUUAAGAGAUUGGUAGCUCUUAGGUUAAGUGAAUAGACCGUGUUAAAAUUGUCUUGCCACAUCUCAAAAUAAAAAUAUCAUGCCAUGCCUAUAUCCUUUAAUUUAUUCAACUAUAUUUAUUUGAAUUUGUGAAAAGACGAGCAUUAACGUGCACGUCUUUCCACUAUUUUUAUUGUGCUAAUGUUUGAAAAUUAUGAACGAUGUUUUUUUUUUUUUUUUUAUGAAAUUUUGGUUUUAAUUAAAACUAAAUAUAAAUAUUUGUUGCAUUAUUUUUAAUCUUUAGCUUUUUAAUGAAUUGAAUGCACAAAAUUUUAUAAAAU